CAGCAGCCGCGGUAAAACAGAGGGUGCAAGCGUUAAUCGGAAUUACUGGGCGUAAAGCGCGCGUAGGUGGUUUGUUAAGUUGGAUGUGAAAGCCCCGGGCUCAACCUGGGAACUGCAUCCAAAACUGGCAAGCUAGAGUACGGUAGAGGGUGGUGGAAUUUCCUGUGUAGCGGUGAAAUGCGUAGAUAUAGGAAGGAGCACCAGUGGCGAAGGCGACCACCUGGACUGAUACUGACACUGAGGUGCGAAAGCGUGGGGAGCAAACAGGAUUAGAUACCCCGGUAGUCCCUGUCUCUUAUAC
This 301-nucleotide ribosomal RNA is filed under the name uncultured bacterium. RNAcentral's name for it is "partial 16S ribosomal RNA". It matches the Rfam family "Bacterial small subunit ribosomal RNA", at positions 509 to 807 of the family's 1533-position model. The record is from RNAcentral.